CGUACCUGUCCGUUCAAAUUCACUGGCAGAGGUGGAGGAACCAGAAGUGGCGCCAGCGGCGCCUUGGGGUGAAGUGCGGCUAGUUGUCCGCGGCGUUCUGCUGCGGUCCCGGCCGGGCCGAGAUGCUCCGUCUCGAAUCCGACAGCUAACUUCGCAGGCGUGUAGAGAGGAAUC
RNAcentral lists this small RNA (174 nucleotides) under Crystallibacter crystallopoietes. Its description in RNAcentral is "Arthrobacter crystallopoietes c-di-AMP sequence". It matches the Rfam family "c-di-AMP riboswitch aptamer (ydaO/yuaA leader)". Rfam says of the family: This family represents a conserved RNA structure found upstream of the ydaO and yuaA genes in Bacillus subtilis and related genes in other bacteria. The ydaO/yuaA element is thought to act as a genetic "off" switch for the ydaO and yuaA genes in its native state. The record is from Rfam by way of RNAcentral. Lineage: Bacteria; Bacillati; Actinomycetota; Actinomycetes; Micrococcales; Micrococcaceae.